RNAcentral lists this ribosomal RNA (253 nucleotides) under uncultured bacterium. RNAcentral's name for it is "partial 16S ribosomal RNA". It matches the Rfam family "Bacterial small subunit ribosomal RNA", at positions 524 to 776 of the family's 1533-position model. The record is from RNAcentral.
UACGUAGGGCGCAAGCGUUAUCCGGAAUUACUGGGCGUAAAGAGUGCGUAGGCGGUUCUUGAAGUCCGCUGUGAAAGCCCCGGGCUUAACCUGGGAAUGGCAGUGGAAACUGGGGGACUUGAAUUGAGCAGAGGGGGGUGGAAUGCCGCGUGUAGCAGUGAAAUGCGUAGAGAUGCGGCGGAACACCGAUGGCGAAGGCAGCCCCCUGGGCUUAAAUUGACGCUGAGGCACGAAAGCGUGGGGAGCGAACAGG